This 682-nucleotide ribosomal RNA is filed under the name Reticulitermes chinensis. Its description in RNAcentral is "partial 16S ribosomal RNA". The stretch from base 342 to 504 matches the Rfam family "Archaeal large subunit ribosomal RNA", at positions 1883 to 2090 of the family's 2987-position model. The record is from RNAcentral. Lineage: Eukaryota; Metazoa; Arthropoda; Insecta; Blattodea; Rhinotermitidae.
UUAGGGGUUUCUGGUUUUUCAAGAAAUGAAUUUAAUUCAUGCGUCUUAUUUAGAGUUUUAUUAUUUGUUUAUUUAUUUUUAUUUGGUGUUAAGAUUGGGAGGGAUUAGCUUCUUAUUUUAUUUUUAUAAUUUUUUGUUUAUUUAGUCUUGUGGAUUUUAUAGUGAUUUUCAAUUUGAUUAUGUUAAAAUUUUAUUUGUUUUGUUCUUUAUUUUUAUUUAUUUAAUUAUUUAUUGAAAUGUAUUCUUUAUUUUGUUUUGGUUAGUAAUUAUUGUAGAAUUAGUAAAUUUAUUGUUAGGUUGUUUUAUUUGUGUUAAUUUUCUUUGAGGAACUAGGCAAAUUUCAUGUCCGCCUGUUUAACAAAAACAUCUUUUCUCGUUAGUUUUUGAAGUAUGGCCUGCCCACUGACUUUGGUGUUGAAGGGCCGCGGUAUUUUGACCGUGCAAAGGUAGCAUAGUCAUUAGUUCUUUAAUUGUGAUCUGGUAUGAAUGGCUUGACGAGGCAUGGGCUGUCUUAAUUUUGAAUUGUUUAUUGAAUUUGGUCUUUGAGUUAAAAUUCUUAGAUGUUUUUAUGGGACGAGAAGACCCUAUAGAGUUUAACAUUUGUUAUGGUCCCUUUCUGUUUGUGAGGGCUCAUUGGGCCGUUUAAUAUGUUUUGUUGGGGUGAUGGGAGGGAUAUAUUUAA